This 575-nucleotide unclassified non-coding RNA is filed under the name Hevea brasiliensis (rubber tree). Lineage: Eukaryota; Viridiplantae; Streptophyta; Magnoliopsida; Malpighiales; Euphorbiaceae. The record is from RNAcentral.
UCAGAUUCAUCAGAGAACCCCAAUCCUCUAUGCAAGCUAUGACCAAGCACAAAACUUGAAUUGUAAUCACAAGCGAAAUCAAUAUUAUAGGCCUUCAAAGGUGGCGUUUCAUCUAAGUAAGCAACUAUCUGGGUCUCCUUGAAAUCAACCAAAGCAAUGGGUUGUGAUGCAUCUAAAUCAUUAUCUCUGUCAUUAUCCNNNNNNNNNNNNUGCAAACCCUCAUGAAGCUCAACAGAAGGGUAGUUAUAGCCAAACGCAUUCCCAUGAGACUUGCGAGGUCCAUUUCUAGAAGCAGAUGGUGCCAUUAGUCUUGAACCAGAAAUAGAAUUAGAAUUGGGGUUCCUUCCUGGGAAGGAAGAGCUGACAUGCCAAUCAGGCAAUACCCCACCCUCCACAAAUAGAGAGUUUCUGAUUCGAGCAGAAGAUGAUGACGAAGACACUGCGUUCGAUCUCCUUAUGCCCUUGUUUUUGCUGCUAUUGCUGUUGUCGUUUCUGAUGUUUCUGUUGCCGUUCGGUCUUCUCCUACCUCCUCCAGCCAUGGCUACGAUCGACCAGAACUUGUCGUGCGAUGCUAC